This 372-nucleotide ribosomal RNA is filed under the name uncultured organism. RNAcentral describes it as "partial 16S ribosomal RNA". It matches the Rfam family "Bacterial small subunit ribosomal RNA", at positions 527 to 896 of the family's 1533-position model. The record is from RNAcentral.
GAACCGUACAAACGUUAUUCGGAAUCACUGGGCUUAAAGGGUACGUAGGCGGGCGAGGAAAGUUGGAUGUGAAAUCCCUCGGGCUCAACCGAGGAACUGCGUCCAAAACUUCUUUGCUUGAGGGAGACAGAGGUGAGCGGAACUCAGGGUGGAGCGGUGAAAUGCGUUGAUAUCCUGGGAACACCGGUGGCGAAGGCGGCUCACUGGGUCUCUUCUGACGCUGAGGUACGAAAGCUAGGGUAGCGAACGGGAUUAGAUACCCCGGUAGUCCUAGCUGUAAACGAUGAGCACUGGGUAGGAGAUCCUUCCACAGGUUUCCUGCCGUAGCGAAAGUGUUAAGUGCUCCGCCUGGGGAGUAUGGUCGCAAGGCUG